GGACAGCGACGGGGCUCAGGAGGGGAAACCAAAAAAUUGGCAUGACUCACUUUAUCGAGAUAUUCACUUUAUUGCGGUGGUCUGCAACGUAACCUGCAGUAUCUCUGAGGAUGGUGAUAGGCUGCCCCUCUGCAUCCAGAGCUCAGGCUGGGCACCAACGCUGAGAUGUAAUUUGCUUUCAAACAAGAAGGGCUCUCCCUGCUUGAUACCUGGAAGCUGGCUGGGAACAGAGGCUCAUCUGCUCAUCCUCCAACCCUGCACAGCACAGUCUGCAACAGCCCGGCAGGACGAGCACAGCCUACAGAGUCGGGACUGCUGGCUGGCCCACGUGACUCUUGGCAAGAUUCUUGCCCCUUCUGUGCUUCUCCUUCCUCGUCUGUCGACUGGGACUAAAAUGGUGCUUUUGUUAAAGGGUUGAUGAGGGUUACUUUCAUUAUUCUAUGUAAGAUGCUGAUUACAAGCCUGGCAUCUGUUAAGUGCAUAAAAUCAACACUGUAUGUCUAAUUAUUGACUAAUCCUGUUCCCAUGCCUCCAGUUAACCCAAGGCUAAGAGGCUAGCCUGAAGUCAUCCAGCAAGCGGGGAGGGUAAGGGUUAGGAGUCUUGAGGCUCUGCCCCUCAAAGGCUAAGUGAUGCCAUUUCAGAAACUCCCUGAACUGUACUGACAUGUCAUUAGUUCAACAAAUACUUACUGAGGGUCUACUGUAUGUCAGGCACUACGCUAAGCUGGGGAAAGACAGUCAAGGUCACCAAAUUUGGGAGCUUUCAUUAUAGUUGGGAAAACGGGCAUUAAAUAAGCAACAAAUAUACCUUUAGACAAUGCUGUGAAGGAAAUGGAUGGCAUAGCAUAAAUAUGUACAGCAUGGAUCCUCGUUUUGUAUUACUAAGAUACCGACAGCAUCUGUCUAGGACAAAUGUGAGGAAAGCCUGGGUUUUGGUAUGACAGAACUGGGUUUGAAGUCGAGCUCCAUGUAACCUUGGUCUGAUAAAUUAACCUUUCUGCUCCUCAUUC
Mesoplodon densirostris (Blainville's beaked whale) is the source of this 1010-nucleotide long non-coding RNA. RefSeq lists it as uncharacterized. The transcript has 4 exons. NCBI's taxonomy places the organism in Eukaryota, Metazoa, Chordata, Mammalia, Artiodactyla, Ziphiidae. The record is from RefSeq and is a predicted model, not a curated record.